RNAcentral lists this ribosomal RNA (254 nucleotides) under uncultured bacterium. Its description in RNAcentral is "partial 16S ribosomal RNA". It matches the Rfam family "Bacterial small subunit ribosomal RNA", at positions 524 to 776 of the family's 1533-position model. The record is from RNAcentral.
UACGGGGGGGGGCAAGCGUUGUUCGGAAUUACUGGGCGUAAAGGGCUCGUAGGCGGCCAACUAAGUCGGAUGUGAAAUCCCCAAGCUUAACUUGGGAACUGCAUCCGAUACUGGAUGGCUUGAAUCCGGGAGAGGGAUGCAGAAUUCCAGGUGUAGCGGUGAAAUGCGUAGAUAUCUGGAGGAACACCUGCGGUGUAGACGGCUUUCUGGACCAUUGCUGACGCUGAGACACGAAAGCGUGGGUAGCAAACAGG